GAAACGCGAUAGUUAAUGUGAAUUGCAGAAUUCAGUGAAUCAUCGAGUCUUUGAACGCACAUUGCGCCCAUUGGUAUUCCUUUGGGCAUGUCUGUUUGAGCGUCAUUACAACCCCUCAGCUAACGCUGGUUUUGAACCGGGACAGGUUAAACACCCGCACCGGUUUUAAAGUUGUAAGCUCUGCUGGCUGCUCUGCCCCAACCGGAACAUAGUAAAAACACUACUUGUUAAGGCGAGGCGAAGCGGUACGGCCUGAACAAAACCUACCCAUUCUAAGGUUUGACCUCAGAUCAGACAAGGAUACCCGCUGAACUUAA
This 317-nucleotide unclassified non-coding RNA is filed under the name uncultured Orbiliaceae. RNAcentral describes it as "sequence contains ITS1". The stretch from base 1 to 105 matches the Rfam family "5.8S ribosomal RNA", at positions 50 to 154 of the family's 154-position model. Lineage: Eukaryota; Fungi; Ascomycota; Orbiliomycetes; Orbiliales. The record is from RNAcentral.